Molecule: transfer RNA, 68 nt
Filed under: Ictidomys tridecemlineatus (thirteen-lined ground squirrel)
Lineage: Eukaryota; Metazoa; Chordata; Mammalia; Rodentia; Sciuridae
Description: Spermophilus tridecemlineatus (thirteen-lined ground squirrel) tRNA
Rfam family: tRNA
About the family: Transfer RNA (tRNA) molecules are approximately 80 nucleotides in length. Their secondary structure includes four short double-helical elements and three loops (D, anti-codon, and T loops).
Source: Rfam by way of RNAcentral
GGUAGUGGCUCAGUUGGUAGAGUGCUUGUCUCACAUGCACAAGGUUCUGGGUUCAAUCCCCAGCACCA